Molecule: transfer RNA, 75 nt
Filed under: Caulobacter rhizosphaerae
Lineage: Bacteria; Pseudomonadati; Pseudomonadota; Alphaproteobacteria; Caulobacterales; Caulobacteraceae
Description: tRNA-Ser
Source: RNAcentral
GCGUAUAAAGCGGAUGAAUACUUAGAACUACUACGAAUCUGAGGGUCGGACGUUCGAAUCGUUCCGGGCGCGCCA